CCUACGGGUGGCAGCAGUGAGGAAUAUUGGUCAAUGGGCGCGAGCCUGAACCAGCCAAGUAGCGUGAAGGAUGACUGCCCUACGGGUUGUAAACUUCUUUUAUAAAGGAAUAAAGUGAGGCACGUGUGCCUUUUUGUAUGUACUUUAUGAAUAAGGAUCGGCUAACUCCGUGCCAGCAGCCGCGGUAAUACGGAGGAUUCGAGCGUUAUCCGGAUUUAUUGGGUUUAAAGGGAGCGUAGAUGGGCGGUUAAGUUAGUUGUGAAAGUUUGAGGCUCAACCGUGAAAUUGCAAUUGAUACUGGCAGUCUAGAGAACAGUUGAGGUAGGCGGAAUGCAUGGUGUAGCGGUGAAAUGCUUAGAGAUCACAAAGAACACCGAUUGCGAAGGCAGCUUACUAAGCUGCCACUGACAUUGAGGCUCGAAAGUGUGGGGAUCAAACAGGAUUAGAUACCCUAGUAGUC
RNAcentral lists this ribosomal RNA (460 nucleotides) under uncultured bacterium. RNAcentral describes it as "partial 16S ribosomal RNA". It matches the Rfam family "Bacterial small subunit ribosomal RNA", at positions 338 to 795 of the family's 1533-position model. The record is from RNAcentral.